UGGAACAGUUGUAACUGUUUCGAUUGUGC
Molecule: non-coding RNA, 29 nt
Filed under: Rattus norvegicus (Norway rat)
Lineage: Eukaryota; Metazoa; Chordata; Mammalia; Rodentia; Muridae
Source: RNAcentral